UUGUCGAUUUUGCCCAUGGUAGACGCGUGUUGGUAAGGGAACGAGGCUGAAUUUACGCAUUUUAGUCAUCUGGGAAAAGAAGAAAGGUGGAAAACUAGAGCUCUUCCAUUUGCUUCCAUAGAUUUCUCGAGCUUUCUCUCAAGCCUGGAACCCUAGCCUCCGUAAGCGAACCAAUUUAAUUCGAAGAAAAUGUUACCCAGAAAAGCUAGGGUUUCCUGGUGCAGAGAAUGGUGUGUACUAUGAAGGAAGCUUGCCUUGUAUUAGAAGUAUGUUGAUGUCUUGGGCUCCCAUCGAAAUCUCUGAUAUCGCUCCUGAUAGGUUUUUGUUGUACAUUUUUUUCUCCUUUCAUUUUUUAAAAUGUAUACACGAAAACUUUGGAAUGUCAAUGAUAACGUGUCUAUAGAAUUGCACCAACACAAUGUACCACUAUGUUAUUUCGAUGCAUUUUCUACAAAUUUAGGAUUUAGACAGAGUAAUGAUUGAGAUAAGGGUACGAUGUGGCUGAUAUGAACUCAAUCCAAUUCUUAGCUUCUUAACGUGGA
Molecule: long non-coding RNA, 542 nt
Organism: Pyrus x bretschneideri (Chinese white pear)
Lineage: Eukaryota; Viridiplantae; Streptophyta; Magnoliopsida; Rosales; Rosaceae
Exons: 3
Source: RefSeq, a predicted model, not a curated record